This 636-nucleotide ribosomal RNA is filed under the name bacterium 57-L049658-122-015-A08. RNAcentral describes it as "bacterial SSU rRNA". It matches the Rfam family "Bacterial small subunit ribosomal RNA", at positions 60 to 691 of the family's 1533-position model. The record is from RNAcentral.
AGUCGAGCGGAUGAAGAGAGCUUGCUCUCUGAUUCAGCGGCGGACGGGUGAGUAAUGCCUAGGAAUCUGCCUGGUAGUGGGGGACAACGUCUCGAAAGGGACGCUAAUACCGCAUACGUCCUACGGGAGAAAGCAGGGGACCUUCGGGCCUUGCGCUAUCAGAUGAGCCUAGGUCGGAUUAGCUAGUUGGUGAGGUAAUGGCUCACCAAGGCGACGAUCCGUAACUGGUCUGAGAGGAUGAUCAGUCACACUGGAACUGAGACACGGUCCAGACUCCUACGGGAGGCAGCAGUGGGGAAUAUUGGACAAUGGGCGAAAGCCUGAUCCAGCCAUGCCGCGUGUGUGAAGAAGGUCUUCGGAUUGUAAAGCACUUUAAGUUGGGAGGAAGGGCAUUAACCUAAUACGUUGAUGUUUUGACGUUACCGACAGAAUAAGCACCGGCUAACUCUGUGCCAGCAGCCGCGGUAAUACAGAGGGUGCAAGCGUUAAUCGGAAUUACUGGGCGUAAAGCGCGCGUAGGUGGUUUGUUAAGUUGAAUGUGAAAUCCCCGGGCUCUACCUGGGAACUGCAUCCAAAACUGGCAAGCUAGAGUAGGGCAGAGGGUGGUGGAAUUUCCUGUGUAGCGGUGAAAUGCGU